AUACCGUGAAACUGCGAAUGGCUCAUUAAAUCAGUUAUCGUUUAUUUGAUAGUACCUUACUACUUGGAUAACCGUGGUAAUUCUAGAGCUAAUACAUGCUAAAAACCUCGACUUCGGGAGAGGUGUGUUUAUUAGAUAAAAAACCAAUGCCCUCCGGGGCUCCUUGGUGAUUCAUGAUAACUUCUCAGAUCGCAUGGCUACACGCCGGCGACGGUUCAUUCAAAUUUCUGCCCUAUCAACUUUGAUGGUAAGGUAGUGGCUUACCAUGGUUUCAACGGGUAACGGGGAAUUAGGGUUCGAUUCCGGAGAGGGAGCCGGAGGAACGGCUACCACAUCCAAGGAAGGCAGCAGGCGCGCAAAUUACCCAAUGCCAAAUCGGCGAGGUAGCGACAAGAAAUACUGAUACAGGGCUCUUUUGGGUCUUGUAAUUGGAAUGAGUACAAUUUAAACCUCUUAACGAGGAACAAUUGGAGGGCAAGUCUGGUGCCAGCAGCCGCGGUAAUUCCAGCUCCAAUAGCGUAUAUUAAAGUUGUUGAGUUAAAAAGCUCGUAGUUGAACCUUUGGCCUGGCUGGCAGGUCCGCCUCACCGCGUGCACUUGCCCGGCCGGGCCUUUUCUUCUGGAGAACCGCAUGCCCUUCACUGGGUGUGUUGGGGACCAGGACUUUUACUUUGAAAAAAUUAGAGUG
This 687-nucleotide ribosomal RNA is filed under the name Deniquelata barringtoniae. RNAcentral's name for it is "SSU rRNA". It matches the Rfam family "Eukaryotic small subunit ribosomal RNA", at positions 76 to 773 of the family's 1831-position model. The record is from RNAcentral. Lineage: Eukaryota; Fungi; Ascomycota; Dothideomycetes; Pleosporales; Didymosphaeriaceae.